RNAcentral lists this ribosomal RNA (253 nucleotides) under uncultured bacterium. Its description in RNAcentral is "partial 16S ribosomal RNA". It matches the Rfam family "Bacterial small subunit ribosomal RNA", at positions 524 to 776 of the family's 1533-position model. The record is from RNAcentral.
UACAGAGGUCUCAAGCGUUGUUCGGAUUCAUUGGGCGUAAAGGGUGCGUAGGCGGCGCGGUAAGUCGGGUGUGAAAUCUCGGAGCUUAACUCCGAAACUGCAUUCGAUACUGCCGUGCUUGAGGACUGGAGAGGAGAAUGGAAUUUACGGUGUAGCGGUGAAAUGCGUAGAUAUCGUAAGGAAGACCAGUGGCGAAGGCGGGUCUCUGGACAGUUCCUGACGCUGAGGCACGAAGGCCAGGGGAGCAAACGGG